GCGGACCUAUAGCUCAGCGGUAGGCGUAGAGCGUGUGGAUUUUAACCAUGUGGUCAUGGGUUUGAUCCCAACGGUCGGCG
This 80-nucleotide transfer RNA is filed under the name Oryza sativa Indica Group (long-grained rice). RNAcentral describes it as "tRNA-Lys". RNAcentral also lists the same sequence under 1 other name. The record is from RNAcentral. Lineage: Eukaryota; Viridiplantae; Streptophyta; Magnoliopsida; Poales; Poaceae.